RNAcentral lists this ribosomal RNA (252 nucleotides) under uncultured bacterium. Its description in RNAcentral is "partial 16S ribosomal RNA". It matches the Rfam family "Bacterial small subunit ribosomal RNA", at positions 524 to 776 of the family's 1533-position model. The record is from RNAcentral.
UACGGAGGAUGCGAGCGUUAUCCGGAUUUAUUGGGUUUAAAGGGUGCGUAGGCGGGAUGCCAAGUCAGCGGUAAAAAUGCGGUGCUCAACGCCGUCGAGCCGUUGAAACUGGCGUUCUUGAGUGGGCGAGAAGUAUGCGGAAUGCGUGGUGUAGCGGUGAAAUGCAUAGACAUCACGCAGAACUCCGAUUGCGAAGGCAGCAUACCGGCGCCCUACUGACGCUGAGGUACGAAAGCGUGGGUAUCGAACAGG